UAUGGCUUCACUUUAUAGGUGUCAAAUC
This 28-nucleotide non-coding RNA is filed under the name Mus musculus (house mouse). The record is from RNAcentral. Lineage: Eukaryota; Metazoa; Chordata; Mammalia; Rodentia; Muridae.